Molecule: ribosomal RNA, 253 nt
Filed under: uncultured bacterium
Lineage: Bacteria
Description: partial 16S ribosomal RNA
Rfam family: Bacterial small subunit ribosomal RNA
Source: RNAcentral
GACGUAGGGGGCAAGCGUUGUUCGGAAUUAUUGGGCGUAAAGCGCUCGUAGGUGGGAUUGCAAGUUCGGGUUGAAAGACCUCGGCUCAACUGAGGAAUAGGUUCGAAUACUGCGAUUCUUGAGGCAAUCAGAGGGUGAUGGAAUUCCCGGUGUAGCGGUGAAAUGCGUAGAUAUCAGGAGGAACACCGGUGGUGUAGACGGCUUUCUGGACCAUAACUGACGCUGAGACACGAAAGCGUGGGUAGCAAACAGG